GCCUGGGUGGCUCAGUGGUAGCGCCUUUUUGCUGCGGCAAAAACCCGCGGGAAUGCACGGAACAACGUUCCGGCACAUCGGGAGCGCACUCCCGAAUGAAAUCCGCGCCGCGCGCCUAAAGAGCACCAGACUCAUAAUCUGGGGGUCGUGAGUUCGAAGCCUUACUGCCCGAGAGGGCGGUAAGUGAAACGCGCAGCGUUUCAGGAGUUACUCACCCCAGGCACCA
RNAcentral lists this transfer RNA (226 nucleotides) under Candidatus Aenigmatarchaeota archaeon. RNAcentral's name for it is "tRNA-Met". Lineage: Archaea; Nanobdellati; Candidatus Aenigmatarchaeota. The record is from RNAcentral.